AGAGUUUGAUUUUGGCUCAGGAUGAACGCUGGCGGCGUGCCUAAUACAUGCAAGUCGAACGCUUCACAUUAGUGAAGAGUGGCGAACGGGUGAGUAAGACAUAAGUAACCUAUUCUUUACUGGGGGACAACUGCUGGAAACGGCAGCUAAUACCGCAUGGAUAUAACCACCGCAUGGAGGAUAUAUGAAAGCAGCCAAGGCUGCGGUAGAGGAUGGACUUAUGGCGCAUUAGCUGGUUGGUGAGGUAGAGGCUCACCAAGGCGACGAUGCGUAGCCGACCUGAGAGGGUGACCGGACACACUGGGACUGAGACACGGCCCAGACUCCUACGGGAGGCAGCAGUAGGGAAUUUUCGGCAAUGGGCGAAAGCCUGACCGAGCAACGCCGCGUGAAGGAAGAAGGAAUUCGUUCUGUAAACUUCUGUCAUAGAGGAAGAACGGUAUGUGUAGGGAAUGACACAUAAGUGACGGUACUCUAUAAGAAAGCCACGGCUAACUACGUGCCAGCAGCCGCGGUAAUACGUAGGUGGCGAGCGUUAUCCGGAAUUAUUGGGCGUAAAGAGGGAGCAGGCGGCACUAAGGGUCUGUGGUGAAAGCCCGAAGCUUAACUUCGGUAAGCCAUGGAAACCGUAGAGCUAGAGUGUGUGAGAGGAUCGUGGAAUUCCAUGUGUAGCGGUGAAAUGCGUAGAUAUAUGGAGGAACACCAGUGGCGAAGGCGACGAUCUGGCGCACAACUGACGCUCAGUCCCGAAAGCGUGGGGAGCAAAUAGGAUUAGAUACCCUAGUAGUCCACGCCGUAAAC
Molecule: ribosomal RNA, 801 nt
Filed under: uncultured bacterium
Lineage: Bacteria
Description: bacterial SSU rRNA
Rfam family: Bacterial small subunit ribosomal RNA
Source: RNAcentral